GUAGGGGGCAAGCGUUGUCCGGAAUUAUUGGGCGUAAAGAGCUCGUAGGCGGUUCGGUAAGUCGGGUGUGAAAAUCCAGGGGCUCAACCCUGGGGACGCCACUCGAUACUGCUGUGACUAGAGUCCCGGUAGAGGAGCGUGGAAUUUCUGGUGUAGCGGUGAAAUGCGCAGAUAUCAGAAGGAACACCAGCGGCGAAGGCGGCGCUCUGGGCCGGUACUGACGCUGAGGAGCGAAAGCGUGGGGAGCAAACAGGAUUAGAUACCCUGGUAGUCCACGCCGUAAACGUUGGGCACUAGGUAUGGGGUCUUAUCAACGGAUUCCGUGCCGUAGCUAACGCAUUAAGUGCCCCGCCUGGGGAGUACGGCCGCAAAGGCUAA
RNAcentral lists this ribosomal RNA (378 nucleotides) under uncultured organism. Its description in RNAcentral is "partial 16S ribosomal RNA". It matches the Rfam family "Bacterial small subunit ribosomal RNA", at positions 527 to 897 of the family's 1533-position model. The record is from RNAcentral.